CCCCCCCACUGAUGGCUGGUGUCUUGCAGGGCAGUGGAAGGGGAGAUUUACCGCCUGGGGCUGCGCCUGGAGGGGCUGAGAGAGCGGCUGGAGCCGGGGGGCAGGCGGCAGUCCCUCCCUCAGCCCCCCCUGCAGCCCCACUGUCCCCAAGCCCCAUCCCCACCACCGGCUGACCAUUCCCCACGCCCCGAGGUGAGCUGGGGGUGCAAAGGUUCCCCACCCCUCUGCAUUUAUGGGGGGUUGCCCCUCUUACUCCCUUGUGCCCACAGAUCCCUGCGCUGGUGGAGGAACCUCGGGGGACAGCAGGGGCCAGCGAGGGGGUGUCAGGGGGGCUGCCCUGGCCCCUCUGGCACAAGCAGCGCCAAGUGGAGGAGGAUUUUGGGGAGCUGCUGGAGCAGUACAAGCACUUCAAGUCCUUGCCGGAGUCGCUGAGCCUGGAGCAGCUGAGCCUGGUGGGGAGCCAGUCUCAGGAGGAGGUGGAUGCACCCACGGCAGGGGAUGGUGGCCCCAGCAAGGUCCCCUGCAGGACACGGUCACUCGAGGAGGAGCCCAACCUCGAGCCCUUGGCACUGCACCUCCCACAGAGAAGAGCUGCGACUCUUCCCCCCAGAGGACCCGCAAACCUGGAGGAGACACUGGGCCACCCCUCCCCUGCCCCUGCUGAGGAGCCACCAGCCUCUGCCAAGCCCCCCCUGGGGGUCCCUGGGCCACCACGGGUGUCCCUGUCCCUCGGUGGGACAGGCAGUGGUGCCACCCAGCCUGGGCCCCACAAGGAGCAGCGCAUCGUGUCCCCAGAGACCGACAGUGGCUUCGUGGGCUCGGAGGCCAGCAGGGUGUCACCCCCCGUGCACACCCCUGAGCAACAUCGCCCAGGGGCUCCGGGCUCGCUGGGACCCUCCGUCCCCAUCCCCAGCAGCCUCCGUACCCCACGGGAGAGAGAGACGACCCCGCUUCCCUCCGAGACAGCACUGAUGGGCAUCUACCCCCCGAGGGGCACAGGGGAGCCCCCCAGCAGCCCCUCUGAGAGCAGCUCCCCCCCUCGCUGGGCUGAGGGCAGCGAGGUGGGACCCGACCCCGACGGUGACGGCACUCACACGGACUCGGAGGUGGGAGACAGGAGCUGUGCCAGCGCUGGUGGCCGCCCCCCAGCCAUGGCCAGGAGCCCCACCAGCCCCCUGCCCUCGCCCCAAACUCCAUCCCCCACCCUCCUGUCCCCCGACCUGCCGUCCGUGGACCCGGCUCACUGUGACCUGCUGGGCUUCCGUCUGGAGCGCGAGUGAGUGCCUGUGUCCCCAGACCCCCUGGGUGACACAGGGACCCCCCCAAAGGCACCCACUGGGCACUGGAUGCCAGCCCAGGCUUGGUUUGGGGAGGGUCCCAGCUGCUGGGUGCCGAUGAUGGGGAUGGG
Molecule: long non-coding RNA, 1408 nt
Filed under: Junco hyemalis (dark-eyed junco)
Lineage: Eukaryota; Metazoa; Chordata; Aves; Passeriformes; Passerellidae
Description: lncRNA (ENSJHYG00000013204.1)
Source: RNAcentral